Molecule: transfer RNA, 72 nt
Filed under: Planctomycetota bacterium
Lineage: Bacteria; Pseudomonadati; Planctomycetota
Also listed under: 1 other name
Description: Planctomycetes bacterium tRNA-Glu
Rfam family: tRNA
About the family: Transfer RNA (tRNA) molecules are approximately 80 nucleotides in length.
Source: RNAcentral
GCCCCCAUCGUCUAGUGGCCAGGAUACAUGGUUCUCAUCCAUGCGACAGGGGUUCGACUCCCCUUGGGGGUA